AUACUUACGAAGACAGGGUCUUUGGUUGAUCAGAAAGGCCCAAAGCCUAGGUUGGUGGCCUUCACUGCACAGGGGAGGUGCACCCGCCCAAGGUCUGUCCAAGUGGGAGAGCGUACGUCAUAAUUUGUGGUAGCAGAGAAUGUUUAGUUCCGUUUAGUUCACUU
This is a small nuclear RNA of Pistacia vera, 164 nucleotides long. RefSeq annotates it as U1 spliceosomal RNA. The record is from RefSeq and is a predicted model, not a curated record. The transcript has a single exon. NCBI's taxonomy places the organism in Eukaryota, Viridiplantae, Streptophyta, Magnoliopsida, Sapindales, Anacardiaceae.